AUCCAAGUGUACGUGGUCUAUCAUGUCUUAAAGUUUCCUUAAAGAAAGCCAAUUAUUGAUCCCACAGGAACUUGAUCUAACAACUAUUUGAUUCUAGUUCACAAUUUAGAUUCAAUUGAUGUAAGAGUAACCAAAAUAGAGUUUGGAAUAUUUGUAAAAUAAUGUAAAGGAAACAAUGUGUAAAAUAAAGGUCUUGAGACAACCAAUAGGAGAAAACCUAGGGUUAAA
This 228-nucleotide long non-coding RNA is filed under the name Capsicum annuum. RNAcentral describes it as "long non-coding RNA (CANN_LNC015481)". Lineage: Eukaryota; Viridiplantae; Streptophyta; Magnoliopsida; Solanales; Solanaceae. The record is from RNAcentral.